CUUUGGAAAAUGCAGGGGGCGGGGGCGUCACAGCCAAGUUGGUGGUGGCGGUUCACGCCGCGUGAGUGUGGCCCCGUUUGCUCUUCUUCUGGGCAUCAACUUUUCCAAGUGUCGGCCACUAAGUUGUCCCUCGGAAGUGGCUGCUGGUCUUGGCCGAGCCGCCGUGAGGAGGAGGAAGUGGACGGGUGAUUCAGUGAGUGUCAGCUUCCUCUGUGACUCGGGAUUGGAUCCGUUUCCUAGGGUGGUGCCGGAGGGCCUGUGUGGCUUUGAAAUUCUCUGCCACUGGCGGCGGCCCUCCCUUGACCCCUUUUGAACGAGUAAGGGGAUUCAGCUGGAUUCUGCAGCCUCCCCCCAAGUUGGGCAGGCCCUUCUGACUUGAGGCCUGCCUGUGGCUCCGGCCGACAACGAUCAGUGACGGGCCGAGCUGAGGCCUCUGCUGGGUCUGUGUGCGUGUCAGGAGCUGCCUCGUAUUUGGGAACUGGAUUGCGAGAGCAGCUGGGAUCUGAGGGCCCCAGUCCGGGCAGGUGUUAGACUGAGGGAGGAGGCAGUUCAACUGCCCGGAGCCACCAGCUCUCCUGGAGGCCAUUUGUCCACGUAGCCAGUGGACGACAGGAGACGGCCAGAUGCACAGCUGCUUCCUGCCCACGAGGAGAGUCAUGACUGGCUUUUUCUUCCGGAGCACCGAGUUUUCCAUGGAUCUGUCGUUAGCGCGCAGCCUACGCGGCCAUUGCUGCCCUCGCCUGAAACCUGUUCUAAGAAGCACUUCAAUCAUCCAGAUCCUCGCCUCUGCCUAAGAGUCCGUAGUCCUAAAAGCACUGACUUGGUAAAGACUGAAAGACCCUCUCAAAAAAUGCUGCAGGGGCUUCUGUAUUCGAAUGCCUUCCAUCACCUUGGAGAACAGCCUCCGCUUCCGGGAACUGACCGAUGACCAGGGUCAUGGGGAGUCUGAGAGAGACACCCGACAGGAACCGGUUCAAAGUUUGUGCCCAGCCUGGGGAGAUCAGAUGACCGGCAGCUGGCCUGCCCCCUGCCGGCUCCCAUUGAUGUCGGAGGGGCUCUGACCCCCGUUUGGUCACAGAAAUACCCGUUUGGAAAUCUCUUUGAAGGCUGAUUAAGUAAACGCUCUCGCGGCACCGACAGUAACAACCGAGUGACGUAGUCGAAGUGCUCGUGGGCCAAGCUUGUAGGAGGGACUCCACACACGUUCGCUGACUUCUCUUCCUGCUUCACCUCUGUUACGGUUCACGGUCUACGUUCACGUCCAUGAUGUUGAAGUGCUAAUCCCCAGGACCCCGGAAUGUGACUGUGUUUGGAGAUAGGGUCUUUAAAGGGGUAGUUACGUUAAAAUGAGGUCAUUUUAAGUGAAAAUGAG
Lynx canadensis (Canada lynx) is the source of this 1372-nucleotide long non-coding RNA. RefSeq lists it as uncharacterized. The record is from RefSeq and is a predicted model, not a curated record. NCBI's taxonomy places the organism in Eukaryota, Metazoa, Chordata, Mammalia, Carnivora, Felidae. The transcript has 3 exons.